GGGGAUGAUCGGUUUCGACAUCGCCUGCGAUGCUGCGGGAAGCGGGCCGAGGAUGCAGGGUUAUCUCGUAAACGAUCUCUGCGAACCAAUAACUGCCGAAAAGAAGCAGUCCGACUUCGCCCUCGCUGCCUGAGCAGCGAGCCCGAGUCCGUCAGUGCGUGACUGAUCCCGUCACGCGUCCUGGCGUCAUCUAAGGGAUCUCGCUGCGCAACGGCGUCCGGACGUUGCGCGGGACUUUUCCCGGACUGGGCUCGUCGACUCCGUUGUCUGUGACUAAGGGUCGGGGCCGAGCAGAACGAAUUGCACAGACUGCGCCCGGAGAAGACGCCGCUUUUCAGCGAUGGACGGGGGUUCGAUUCCCCCCAUCUCCACGA
Molecule: transfer-messenger RNA, 374 nt
Filed under: Microbacterium sp.
Lineage: Bacteria; Bacillati; Actinomycetota; Actinomycetes; Micrococcales; Microbacteriaceae
Rfam family: transfer-messenger RNA
About the family: Bacterial tmRNA, also known as 10Sa RNA or SsrA, is named for its dual tRNA and mRNA-like properties. Its role is to liberate the mRNA from a stalled ribosome.
Source: Rfam by way of RNAcentral